RNAcentral lists this long non-coding RNA (1059 nucleotides) under Podarcis lilfordi (Lilford's wall lizard). The record is from RNAcentral. Lineage: Eukaryota; Metazoa; Chordata; Lepidosauria; Squamata; Lacertidae.
GCAGAAAGUCCUUCCUUUCGACUGUCCUGAAUUUUCAAACAUUCAGCUUCGCUGGAUGCCCCCACUGGGUUCUAGCAUUAUGAGAGAGGUUGACAAACUCUCUUGUCCACUUUCGCCACAGAAUUCCCAGCAACUGUCAUUCAGAGGCAUACUGCCUCCAACUGCAGAGGCAGAGCACAGCCACUGUGGCUAGCAAUCACUAUCAGUCCAUGCGCUGAUGGUGCCUGAGCGCAACAGCUUUCUCAGAACCUGAGCACAACAGCUUUCUUCCUACCUGCCUCUGACAGUCGUGGUAGAACUUAGCCAUCCAAGUUGGUGGCCAUCAGUUUUUCUUGUGGGAGUGAAUUCCAUAGUUUAACUCUGCCCUGUGUGAAGACGGAUGUCUUUCCUUUUGACUGCCCUGAAUUUUUCAGCACUGAAUGGGUGUUGAAUGGGUCCUGAAUCUUCUAACACUGAAUAACCCAUUGAGUUCUAGUAUUAUAUCACUAGUAUUAUAUCACUAUUUUUGAAAGGUCACACUUCCCCAUCCCGAACAUUAAAAUACCCACUAAUUCCAAUCCCUGAAGGGAAUCUUGAUAGAUUGCCUUGUAUGAAGGCAGAAGCAAAUCUAUCCUAUCAGCUGGAUUUUGGGACCAUUGAAGCACUAUCCAUGUAGGAGAAAAAGAUGCCUGUCGAUGGCAGCUGGCACUGAGGAAAGAGCCCAUUAAUCAGACCAACGGCUGCAAACUGUUUGCUGCCUUAUUGACUUCCGUUUGUCAGUUAUGAAUCAACCGUUGCAUAUAUGACCUCCACUUUUAAGCAGGGAUUGCAAUUAGCUGCAGCGAUAAAUAACACCUGUCUUUUGAAAGACAAAUGUAGGGCUCUUUGACCAGGAGGGUUUGAGCAUUCAAAGAAAAACCUUUGCUAAAUCUGGUAAUUGCUGUUGUUAUGAGUUGCUGCCUGAUUACUAGGGAUGGAAGGAUCUGCCAGUUUUGCUUCUCUAGGAUGGAAGGAUCUUUCAGCUUUAGUUCUCUUGGGGCCAGUUUACCUGUGAGAUCGUCUUCCCCCAUAUAUGCCCAC